This is a long non-coding RNA of Eutrema salsugineum, 494 nucleotides long. RefSeq lists it as uncharacterized. The transcript has 2 exons. NCBI's taxonomy places the organism in Eukaryota, Viridiplantae, Streptophyta, Magnoliopsida, Brassicales, Brassicaceae. The record is from RefSeq and is a predicted model, not a curated record.
AAUUUUGUAUAAAAAAAAACUUAAAUCUCUCUCUAAACGGCGCUUCUCUAAAACGGUGUUUCUCCUGAGCUCACGCGACGUCUUCUCCAAUGCUGAUUCACGGUGGGACGAACCAACCGGUGAAGCUGUUGACGAAGUCAUCUUCCUUAGCCGCCACACCGCCGCCUCGAAUCACCCUGCUCUCACUAUGAAUCCGAUUGGAGAGCUUCACUUAAAAGGAAAAUUGCCGCCGCAAUGAGGACGGCCAGGGUGGGCGGCGUUGGUAAACCCUAGGAUUGGUUCAUGGCUGCGUCUUUUGAAGAAAAUCAGAAUCUGAUUAAAAUGUAGUAUGCGAAGUAUGUAUUGAGCUGGAUUCCUUUAGAUUUACAGAGAAAUUUUGGUUGAUGAUUAAAGGUGAAAAGUCUAUGUACCUGACUUUGUAUCUGACCAUAGUGGCCUGAAUCUUUGGAGGAUCUAGUUUGAUUAAAGAUUAUAUAUAUGCUACCUUUAAUAGU